Long non-coding RNA from Sapajus apella (tufted capuchin), 80 nucleotides. RefSeq lists it as uncharacterized. The transcript has 3 exons. The record is from RefSeq and is a predicted model, not a curated record. Lineage: Eukaryota; Metazoa; Chordata; Mammalia; Primates; Cebidae.
CAAAUAUUUCUUCAAAUCAUCAAACUGUAUACAUUAAACAUGUGCAGUUUUAUGUAUAUUAAUUAUACCUCAAUAAAGCU